AACAGGAUUAGAUACCCUGGUAGUCCACGCCCUAAACGAUGUCUACUAGUUGUUGGUGGAGUAAAAUCCAUGAGUAACGCAGCUAACGCGUGAAGUAGACCGCCUGGGGAGUACGGUCGCAAGAUUAAAACUCAAAUGAAUUGACGGGGGCCCGCACAAGCGGUGGAUUAUGUGGAUUAAUUCGAUGCAACGCGAAAAACCUUACCUGGCCUUGACAUGUACCGAAUUUACCAGAGAUGGUUUAGUGCUCGAAAGAGAACGGUAACACAGGUGCUGCAUGGCUGUCGUCAGCUCGUGUCGUGAGAUGUUGGGUUAAGUCCCGCAACGAGCGCAACCCUUGCCAUUAAUUGCCAUCAUUUAGUUGGGCACUUUAAUGGGACUGCCGGUGACAAACCGGAGGUAGGUGGGGAUGACGUCAAGUCCUCAUGGCCCUUAUGGCCAGGGCUUCACACGUAAUACAAUGGUCGGUACAGAGGGUUGCCAACCCGCGAGGGGGAGCCAAUCCCAGAAAGCCGAUCGUAGUCCGGAUUGUAGUCUGCAACUCGACUACAUGAAGUCGGAAUCGCUAGUAAUCGCGGAUCAGCAUGUCGCGGUGAAUACGUUCCCGGGCCUUGUACACACCGCCCGUCACACCAUGGGAGUGGGUUUUACCAGAAGUAGGUAGUCUAACCGUAAGGAGGACGCUUACCACGGUAGUAUUCAUGACUGGGGUGAAGUCGUAACAAGGUAACC
Molecule: ribosomal RNA, 732 nt
Filed under: uncultured bacterium
Lineage: Bacteria
Description: bacterial SSU rRNA
Rfam family: Bacterial small subunit ribosomal RNA
Source: RNAcentral